AGAGUUUGAUCAUGGCUCAGAGCGAACGCUGGCGGCAGGCUUAACACAUGCAAGUCGAGCGGGCGUAGCAAUACGUCAGCGGCAGACGGGUGAGUAACGCGUGGGAACGUACCUUUUGGUUCGGAACAACACAGGGAAACUUGUGCUAAUACCGGAUAAGCCCUUACGGGGAAAGAUUUAUCGCCGAAAGAUCGGCCCGCGUCUGAUUAGCUAGUUGGUAGGGUAAUGGCCUACCAAGGCGACGAUCAGUAGCUGGUCUGAGAGGAUGAUCAGCCACAUUGGGACUGAGACACGGCCCAAACUCCUACGGGAGGCAGCAGUGGGGAAUAUUGGACAAUGGGGGCAACCCUGAUCCAGCCAUGCCGCGUGAGUGAUGAAGGCCCUAGGGUAGUAAAGCUCUUUUGUGCGGGAAGAUAAUGACGGUACCGCAAGAAUAAGCCC
Molecule: ribosomal RNA, 441 nt
Filed under: uncultured bacterium
Lineage: Bacteria
Description: bacterial SSU rRNA
Rfam family: Bacterial small subunit ribosomal RNA
Source: RNAcentral